CUGGGACGUGAGGAGCGCCUCUGCCCGGCCACGACCCUGUCUGGGAGCUAAAUAAGCACUGGCCUAGAAAUCAGCGAUAUCAAAACAAUUACAACUCAUCCAGCUCUCAGAUGCUUUGAGAAAUUCAGAGGAUAUAUGACAAUAACUGUAAACUAGUGGAGAAGAAAUAGAAAAAAAGAAGGGUACACAGACAAGAUUUGAACAUGGAUAGUUAUUGCUCCGAUCUUCGAUAAAACCAUUUGAAAAUGGACAGAGUGUAAAAUAAACCUGAAAUCAUGAAGUAAAACCUGUUUGGACUAAGUUUACAAUUAAUUAGCUAAAAGUAUGUUGUUGCUCCUAAAUAGAAAAAAGUUUGCGUUAGGAAAGUUCAAUUAAAAAAAUAGAGGACAUCUCUAUAUCUCCCUCAUAUUUGUGGAUUUUGCAAUUUGUAUGCACUGUAGUAUUCCAUAUUUUCCUCAUCUUGCUUGAUGUAUUCUUAUCAUUACUGUACAUGAGUUGAGAGCACAGCAGAGUCAGAUUGCCUGAGUUUAAAUCCUGGCUUGACACCUUAUUAGCUGUGUGACCCAAGGCAGAGAAACUUGGUCUUUCUAUGGCUCAGCUUACUCAUCUGUAAAAUGGAGAUAUUUAGAUUACCUACCUAACAAGUAUAUUAUAAAGAUGUAAACUAAAAACAAAAUCAUAAGCUUCUCCACUUAACAGAGAGGGCAGCCCCAGAAAACAAUAAACUGAAUUUCUGACCAUGUUGGAAUGGGAGGUCAGACAUGCCUCAUUAUCCCCCCUCCCUUUUGUGGUUUAGACACAACAACACAGCACCAUUAAUGUUAAAAUAGAUAUUAUGAGAGACAAAGAAGAUUAUUCGUGGCAAUAAGAUACCAAAUUAUAAACAAGACCUAAGACCAUGCCCAGGAAGGAAGUGUUAAACCACACACCCCUACACUUAAAGAAUAAACUAUGUUCUAACUGCUACAAGGUUUCUCCUUUUCUCUAGCAGCUAAACAAGCAUUGGCAUAGAGAUAAGCAAUAUUAAAACAAUUACAACUCAUCCAGCUCAGGGAAACUGAUUAACUGACUCUGUGUUCCAACAGCCAUAACUAGAGCUUUGAUUGGACAAGAGACUGAUUUCAGUAACUUUGUCCUGAACAGACCACGUUGUCCCAUAGAAGUGAUGUUUAUGGUUUCUUUUGAAUAAACAUAGAAAUUGACCCUCCCACUCUUAAAAUUUGAAAAAAUUACAGUUGUCUUAACUGAGUUCCUUUCUCAGGAUACCAACCAUCAGUCUUCCCAGAUGGUAUCAAGAUCACAGCAUUUGGUCAAUGAGGAGCCAGACCCCUCACCUGUCACGGUUGCCUGACUGUUCACCUGCUUCCUGUUGACCAACUCCUCUUCCUUUUUCUUCCCUAAUUUCUGUUUUUCUGCAUGUAGUUACAUUUCUUUCCUG
This 1438-nucleotide long non-coding RNA is filed under the name Homo sapiens (human). RNAcentral describes it as "HSALNT0056762". The record is from RNAcentral. Lineage: Eukaryota; Metazoa; Chordata; Mammalia; Primates; Hominidae.